AGAGUUUGAUCCUGGCUCAGAACGAACGCUGGCGGCGUGCUUAAUACAUGCAAGACGAACGAGGACACCCUUCGGGGUGAGCCGAGUGGCGAACGGGUGAGUAACGCGUAGGUAAUCUGCCCUUUGGUUUGGGAUAACACUUCGAAAGGGGUGCUAAUACCGAAUAUAAUUAUUUUCGCAAAAGCGUUGAUAAUGAAAGGAGGCCUCCACAAGUAUGCUUUCACCAAAGGAUGAGCCUGCGUCCCAUUAGCCAGUUGGUAGGGUAAAAGCCUACCAAAGCUAUGAUGGGUAGCCGGCCUGAGAGGGUGAUCGGCCACACUGGAACUGAGAUACGGUCCUGACUCCUACGGGAGGCAGCAGUAUGGAAUCUUGCGCAAUGGGCUAAAGCCUGACGCAGCAACGCCGCGUGAGCGAUGAAGCCUUUUGGGGCGUAAAGCUCAAACGGAUAGGGAAGAAUUGGGUAAAGGAUAAUAUUCUUUACUCUUGACGUUGUACCUAUUACGGAGCUCCGGCCAACUACGUGCCAGCAGCCGCGGUAACACGUAGGGAGCGAGCGUUGUUCGGAAUCACUGGGCGUAAAGGGUGUGUAGGCGGUUCAGUAAGUUAGGAGUGCAAGCCCUUGGCUCAACCAAGGAAUUGCUCUUAAAACUGCUAGACUUGAGUACAGGAGAGGAAGGCGGAAUUCCUAGUGUAGCGGUGAAAUGCGUAGAUACUAGGAGGAACACCGGUGGCGAAGGCGGCCUUCUGGACUGUAACUGACGCUGAAACACGAAAGCUAGGGGAGCAAACAGGAUUAGAUACCCUGGUAGUCUUAGCUGUAAACGAUGGGCACUAGGUGUAGCGAGUAUCGACCCUCGCUGUGCCGUAGCUAACGCAUUAAGUGCCCCGCCUGGGAAGUACGUCCGCAAGGAUGAAACUCAAAGGAAUUGACGGGGGCCCGCACAAGCGGUGGAGCAUGUGGUUUAAUUCGAUGCAACGCGAAGAACCUUACCGGGGUUUGACAUACUUAAUGACAGAUAUAGAGAUAUAUCCUUCCCUUCGGGGACAAUUUGUACAGGUGCUGCAUGGCUGUCGUCAGCUCGUGUCGUGAGAUGUUGGGUUAAGUCCCGCAACGAGCGGAACCCCUAUCCUUAGUUGCCAACAGGUUAGGCUGGGAACUCUAGGGAAACUGCCGGUGAUAAACCGGAGGAAGGUGGGGAUGACGUCAAGUCCUCAUGGCCCUUACGCCCCGGGCUACACACGUGCUACAAUGGCUGGUACAAAGGGCAGCAAUACUGCAAGGUGGAGCUAAUCUCAAAAAGCCAGUCUAAGUUCGGAUUGGAGUCUGCAACCCGACUUCAUGAAGGUGGAAUCGCUAGUAAUCGUGGAUCAGCACGCCACGGUGAAUUCGUUCCCGGGCCUUGUACACACCGCCCGUCACACCAUGAAAGUUGGUUGCGCUUGAAGUCGGUGGGCUAACCCUUUCGCAAGGAAGGGGGGCAGCCGCCUAAUGCGUGACCGAUAAUUGGGGUGAAGUCGUAACAAGGUA
This 1528-nucleotide ribosomal RNA is filed under the name metagenome. Its description in RNAcentral is "bacterial SSU rRNA". It matches the Rfam family "Bacterial small subunit ribosomal RNA". The record is from RNAcentral.